This 156-nucleotide ribosomal RNA is filed under the name uncultured Pseudomonas sp. Its description in RNAcentral is "partial 16S ribosomal RNA". It matches the Rfam family "Bacterial small subunit ribosomal RNA", at positions 340 to 488 of the family's 1533-position model. Lineage: Bacteria; Pseudomonadati; Pseudomonadota; Gammaproteobacteria; Pseudomonadales; Pseudomonadaceae. The record is from RNAcentral.
UACGGGAGGCAGCAGUGGGGAAUAUUGGACAAUGGGCGAAAGCCUGAUCCAGCCAUGCCGCGUGUGUGAAGAAGGUCUUCGGAUUGUAAAGCACUUUAAGUUGGGAGGAAGGGCAGUAAGCUAAUACCUUGCUGUUUUGACGUUACCGACAGAAUA